CGCCUGAUCUCGCAAAUGAUAAAACCUUAACCCUCGGAGUCCCAAACGCGAGUGAGAGCAGAUCUGAGAAAAUGAGAGAUGUGAAACACAGAGAGGGUCUAGAAACCCUAACAAUGGCAUUGUCUCUGUGAUCGGAGCCUUCGUUGUAGAUCAGAGACAUGAGCGUGAAGAAAGAGAGAGACGACGGGGCAUGAAGAAAAGCUCCUCCAAUGCGAUUCUUGUUUUGCGAGGUUUAACGCCUCGAUGACCACCAUUGAUCCACGAUCGGAUCCGUUCAAGAGCUCACCGUUGACAUCGCGUAGUAAUUAACACCAAGACCAGAGAUCUGAUGGGGUUAGGUACACUCCCUGUCUGCUUGCUCAAGAUGCGAUCGGGCGCGAUGUGGAUUGAUAGAGGCACUGACAGCGGGCCUUCCAUAUCUUUAAGGUAUUCUUUUUGGUAGUAAAAUGGUUAUUAAUGUACAAAUGUCGUAAUAGAGUAUUUUAAAAUGUUUCUUCAGGAUGUUGUGUUCUGGUUUGCGAUCUUUAACAUUCAGUGGUUAUCCCACACCAAAGUUCUUCCUAUGAGUUGCAGCAUCUUGCAUUUUAAAUAAAAGAACCUGUUGUUCUAUGUUCUUUUUUGUUAUUGACAUAACAAACUGUUCUUCCUAUCAUUCCCACUUGUUACAUUUGAACUUUAAUUUUUUUAUUCUAUGGUAUUUUUUAUAUGCUUUUAUAUUACUACCUUUCAAGUU
This is a non-coding RNA of Prunus avium (sweet cherry), 733 nucleotides long. Lineage: Eukaryota; Viridiplantae; Streptophyta; Magnoliopsida; Rosales; Rosaceae. The record is from RefSeq and is a predicted model, not a curated record.